Molecule: long non-coding RNA, 1964 nt
Organism: Vulpes vulpes (red fox)
Lineage: Eukaryota; Metazoa; Chordata; Mammalia; Carnivora; Canidae
Source: Ensembl
AACAGAACAAAUUCAAUAGGAUACAAACAGAAAAGAGGUUGAUUCCUCCUACCUGCUAUCCCUUCAAAUUGGUUCUGUUUAGGUUGUUUCUUCUCCAACCCUUGGAUGAAAUCUCUGGUGUGUCCCACAAUGCUUCCAGUCAUCCUUGGAUAAAACGAACAAGCCAAGAAAACCUCUACCUUCAGUAACAAACACUGUCUCAUCUUAGUAAGGUAAAUGUGCUCUCUCUUCAGUUAAAGCUUCUCCCUUUCCUUGCUCUGGCCAGACAGGGCUGGGAAGCCUGUGAAAGGGGAGGUGGCACGGAGGAUCUCUGUCACAUUUCCCCUCCUCCAGCCUCCUCCACCCUCAGCCUCUUAACCCAAGGCUCCCGAUCCCUUCAGAUGGGGCCCAGAGGUAGCGAAUGUCAGGGGUAAAUACACAAUCUGAAGUGGCUGUGGCUUCUAGGGUCAAUGUUGGUAUUCUCUGGCACUUUCGCUGCUUUUGUACCACAGAAACCUCCCCACCUGGGACCCUGCAAUUAUAAUCUCCAGGACAGGAUAAAGCUUGUCUCUAUUUGCUAGCUUACAUCUCCAACUGAUUCCAACUGACUCCAAAUCUGAACCCUGGACUAUCUGUGGUCCAUCUCCCCCACAUUAUCUUUGUUGGUCCAUCAACCUUCCAAAGAGACUUUUGGGGCAAAGUCCUUAUUAAGAUGGCCCCAGGCCCAGUCUCCCCAUGUGACCCACAGUAGGUCCCUGAGAAAAUGCAUGCAUCUUUGAUCCUUUCUGUUGACAGAAGUAUGACUCAUUCUUUAUGCAGUCUUCUUUGUUCUUGCCCCUCAGGUGGAAGGCCUUGGCCUCAGGUCUUUGAAUUUUCCAGGAGUCAGUCAUUCCAAGUCCACUGCUCCCAGACUCUAAGGGACACACAUAUGGAGAGGAGAGGGAAGCCUUCCCAGCCUCCCUCAGAAUGCAGAUGGGGUGACUGACAUGCUGGAGCUGCUGAAUCAAUGCCAGACACUGUCAGCUCUUGGAAUCAGCAUGUGGGAAAAAAUCUCUGCAGAGUAUCAAAUGGAGACGCUAAAUAGAGAGAUAGGUGGGUAAGUCUGGAGCUGGAGUGUCAAGGGCAUAUUACAUGGGAGUGGGUGAGAUGAUUCAGAGAGUAGAUAGAUAAACUUCAUUGAUUGAUUAGCUGAUAAAAAGAGAUGCUCCUGGAGAACACCAACCUUCAAGGAAGAGGCUAGAGGAAAGAGGCUGCACAGAAGGAACAGCCAGAGAGAGAGGGUACCUGGAUCCUAUGGCGUCUUGGGAGCCAAGGGAGGACAGAGGCUUGGGAAGUCUGAGUGGUCAGCAGUACACGUGACAGAGACGGCCAGUGGCUGAGAUCAGAGAAGGGGACUUGGUGGCCAUUCUCACACGUCAAUGCCAGUCUGCCCAAGGACCUCAUUGUGCCCUCCAGGCUCUGCCUGUAAAACUAUGGGCACCUCACAGGCUAGCAGCUCCCAGGAGUUUGCACAGACAAGACAAUGGAAAGAGAAUACUUCCUUCCCUGACACUGUGACCAGGAGAUUUUGGACAUGAUUACUGCAGUGUUUUCUCCCUGCCUAGUCUGAGUUCAGAUGCACUUGAUCUUAUUAGAUUUGAUUCUUCUUGGCUCAAAGAGCCUGCAGCCUUAUGCUCUGUGGGCCUCAGACCACUCACUCAACAAGUUGAAGGCAGAGCAGAAGCUAGAACUCAGGUCUUCUGAUUACAAAUCUGCCAGGCCUCAAAACCCACGUGGAACAUUUCCUAGGUCUGGCUUUUAACAAAUGCAUUGGGGGUUGGCAUGCUGCUGGUGUUUUGCUGGCUCAGGGUAGGCACCAGGAUAUUUUUUGCAAAUUGGGUACUCUGUCAUGUAGAAAAACAUCCUUUUAGGGGGUAAAACAUCUGGAGUUACAUUGCAUGAAAAGAAACUGAAGACCAGGUUACACAGUUAGCACACAGUUCUCC